GCCCAGAUAUAUAUCUCUUUAUAAAUCUCCUCUUUGAGAUAAAAUAAAUUGACUUGUAUGUAAAAUUUUGUAACUUUGCAUAAUCCAAUCUGCCUAAUGCAACACAUUUAACUCUACUUGAUCUGCAUCAUCCUGAGAUGCUAUCCAUUCUGCUCUGUUUCGAGGCAAGUAUAGAUUGGGUAUAGAUAAUGAUCUAUUUGAUUUAUAUUCAAAAGGUUUCCAUCAUUGGUUAUUGUUUCAAAAUAUGCUUCAAAGAUUAUAUGG
RNAcentral lists this long non-coding RNA (264 nucleotides) under Elaeis guineensis (African oil palm). RNAcentral's name for it is "long non-coding RNA (EGUI_LNC017844)". The record is from RNAcentral. Lineage: Eukaryota; Viridiplantae; Streptophyta; Magnoliopsida; Arecales; Arecaceae.